CGAGUGAAGAGGGAAAAGCUCAAAUUUUGAAUCUGAUGCCUUUGGUAUCCGAAUUGUAAUCUAGAGAAGUGUUUUCCGUGAUGGACCGUGCACAAGUCUCCUGGAAUGGAGCGUCAUAGAGGGUGAGAAUCCCGUAUAUGGCACGGACUCCCAUUGCUCUACGAUACACUCUCGACGAGUCGAGUUGUUUGGGAAUGCAGCUCUAAAUGGGUGGUAAAUGCCAUCUAAAGCUAAAUAUUGGCGAGAGACCGAUAGCGAACAAGUACCGUGAGGGAAAGAUGAAAAGCACUUUGGAAAGAGAGUGAAACAGUACGUGAAAUUGUUGAAAGGGAAACGCUUGAAGUCAGUCGCACCGUUCAGGAUUCAGCCUUGCUUCUGCUUGGUUUACUUCCUGUUCAGUGGGUCAACAUCAGUUUCGAUCGGAGGAGAAAGACUUGAGGAAGGUAGCAGCAUUCGUGCUGUGUUAUAGCCUCUUGUUGUAUACUUCGAUUGGGACUGAGGACUGCAGCACGCCUAUGGCCGGGGUUCGCCCACGUACGUGCUUAGGAUGUUGGCA
This 556-nucleotide ribosomal RNA is filed under the name Sebacina sp. Seb20L. Its description in RNAcentral is "eukaryotic LSU rRNA". It matches the Rfam family "Eukaryotic large subunit ribosomal RNA", at positions 90 to 631 of the family's 3401-position model. The record is from RNAcentral. Lineage: Eukaryota; Fungi; Basidiomycota; Agaricomycetes; Sebacinales; Sebacinaceae.